UGGUUAAGUGAAUAAGGGCGUACGGUGAAUGCCUUGGCACUAGGAGCCGAUGAAGGACGGGACGAACACCGAUAUGCUUCGGGGAGCUGUAAGUAAGCUUUGAUCCGGAGAUUUCCGAAUGGGGGAACCUCAUUGUUUUUAUCGACAAUGGUCCACUCAGUGAACACAUAGCUGAGUGGAAGGUAGACGUGGUGAACUGAAACAUCUCAGUAGCCACAGGAAGAGAAAGAAAAAUCGAUUUCCCGAGUAGCGGCGAGCGAAACGGAAAGAGGCCAAACCAGCGUGCUUGCAUGCUGGGGUUGUAGGACUGAUGGACGGGAGUGAAUGAGCUAGUCGAACGCCAUGGAAAGGGCGAUCAGAGAGGGUGACAAUCCCGUAGGCGAAAGCUCAGCCACCUCAUUCAGUAUCCUGAGUACGGCGGUACACGUGAAAUUCCGUCGGAAUCCGCCAGGACCAUCUGGCAAGCCUAAAUACUCCCUAGUGACCGAUAGUGAACCAGUACCGUGAGGGAAAGGUGAAAAGCACCCCGGAAGGGGAGUGAAAGAGUACCUGAAACCGUAUGCCUACAAGCAGUCAGAGCCCGUUAAGGGGUGAUGGCGUACUUUUUGUAGAACGGACCGGCGAGUGACGAUAGCAAGCAAGGUUAAGCUGAAGAAGCGGAGCCACAGCGAAAGCGAGUCUGAAGAGGGCGUUGAGUUUGUUGUCGUCGACCCGAAACCAAGUGAUCUACUCAUGUCCAGGCUGAAGGUGUGGUAAAACACACUGGAGGGCCGAACCCACGUCUGUUGAAAAAGGCGGGGAUGAGGUGUGGGUAGCGGUGAAAUUCCAAUCGAACUUGGAGAUAGCUGGUUCUCUCCGAAAUAGCUUUAGGGCUAGCCUCGGAUGAUGACUAUUGGAGGUAGAGCACUGUUUGAUCGAGGGGUCCAUCCUGGAUUACCGACAUCUGAUAAACUCCGAAUGCCAAAUAGUUUAGUCCGGGAGUCAGACUGCGAGUGAUAAGAUCCGUAGUCGAAAGGGAAAGAGCCCAGACCACCAGCUAAGGUCCCAAAGUUUCAGUUAAGUGGAAAAGGAUGUGGGGUUGCUUAGACAACUAGGAUGUUGGCUUAGAAGCAGCCAUCAUUGAAAGAGUGCGUAAUAGCUCACUAGUCGAGUGACCCUGCGCCGAAAAUGUACCGGGGCUAAACUGAACACCGAAGCUGUGGAUCCGUAGGAUGGUAGGAGAGCGUUCUAUAGGCAGAGAAGCAUGAUCGUGAGGACAUGUGGAGCGUAUAGAAGUGAGAAUGCCGGUAUGAGUAGCGAAAGACGGGUGAGAAUCCCGUCCACCGAAUGACUAAGGUUUCCUGGGGAAGGCUCGUCCUCCCAGGGUUAGUCGGGACCUAAGCCGAGACCGAAAGGGAUAGGCGAUGGACAACAGGUUGAGAUUCCUGUACUUGUUUGAUUUGUUUGAGCGAUGGAAGGACACAGAAGGCUAAGCGGAGCGCGGAGAUGGAAAAACGCGUCCAAGCAAUGAGUGAGAAGGUGAGUGAAAGGCUUGCCUCAGACUUCAUGAGUUGUGACGGGGAGGGAAGUUUAGUACCGAAGCCGCCGACGUCACGCUGUCAAGAAAAGUUUCUAGUGAGAAUCAAACAACCCGUACCGCAAACCGACACAGGUAGUCGAGUGGAGAACACUAAGGUGAGCGAGCGAACUCUCGUUAAGGAACUCGGCAAAAUGACCCCGUAACUUCGGGAGAAGGGGUGCUGACCGCAAGGUCAGCCGCAGUGAAUAGGCCCAAGCGACUGUUUAUCAAAAACAUAGGUCUCUGCCAAAUCGAAAGAUGAUGUAUAGAGGCUGACGCCUGCCCGGUGCUGGAAGGUUAAGAGGAAGGGUUAGCGUAUGCGAAGCUCUGAAUUGAAGCCCCAGUAAACGGCGGCCGUAACUAUAACGGUCCUAAGGUAGCGAAAUUCCUUGUCAGGUAAGUUCUGACCCGCACGAAAGGCGUAACGAUUUGGGCACUGUCUCAACGAGAGGCUCGGUGAAAUUGUAGUACCAGUGAAGAUGCUGGUUACCCGCGACAGGACGGAAAGACCCCAUGGAGCUUUACUGUAGGUUGAUAUUGAAUGUUUGUGCCACAUGUACAGGAUAGGUAGGAGCCAUCGAAGUCGGGACGCUAGUCUCGAUGGAGGCACUGGUGGGAUACUACCCUUGUGGGAUGACCAUUCUAACCCGCGACCAUUAGCUGGUCGGGAGACAGUGUCAGUCAGGCAGUUUGACUGGGGCGGUCGCCUCCUAAAGUGUAACGGAGGCGCCCAAAGGUUCCCUCAGAAUGGUUGGAAAUCAUUCGCAGAGUGUAAAGGCAGAAGGGAGCUUGACUGCGAGACCUACAAGUCGAGCAGGGACGAAAGUCGGGCUUAGUGAUCCGGUGGUUCCGCAUGGAAGGGCCAUCGCUCAACGGAUAAAAGCUACCCUGGGGAUAACAGGCUUAUCUCCCCCAAGAGUUCACAUCGACGGGGAGGUUUGGCACCUCGAUGUCGGCUCAUCGCAUCCUGGGGCUGAAGUCGGUCCCAAGGGUUGGGCUGUUCGCCCAUUAAAGCGGUACGCGAGCUGGGUUCAGAACGUCGUGAGACAGUUCGGUCCCUAUCCGUCGCGGGCGUUGGAAAUUUGAGAGGAGCUGUCCUUAGUACGAGAGGACCGGGAUGGACACACCGCUGGUGUACCAGUUGUUCCACCAGGAGCAUGGCUGGGUAGCUAUGUGUGGACGGGAUAAGCGCUGAAAGCAUCUAAGCGUGAAGCCCCCCUCAAGAUGAGAUUUCCCAUACUUUAAAAGUAGUAAGACCCCUGAAAGACGAUCAGGUUGAUAGGUUUGGAGUGGAAGCUUAGCAAUAAGUGGAGCGGACAAAUACUAAUCGGUCGAGGACUUAUCCAAA
This 2906-nucleotide ribosomal RNA is filed under the name Aerococcus urinae. RNAcentral's name for it is "bacterial LSU rRNA". It matches the Rfam family "Bacterial large subunit ribosomal RNA". The record is from RNAcentral. Lineage: Bacteria; Bacillati; Bacillota; Bacilli; Lactobacillales; Aerococcaceae.